This 274-nucleotide ribosomal RNA is filed under the name uncultured bacterium. RNAcentral describes it as "partial 16S ribosomal RNA". It matches the Rfam family "Archaeal small subunit ribosomal RNA", at positions 473 to 747 of the family's 1478-position model. The record is from RNAcentral.
AAACCGGCACCUCAAGUGGUCAGGAUGAUUAUUGGGCCUAAAGCAUCCGUAGCCGGCUCUGUAAGUUUUCGGUUAAAUCUGUACGCUUAACGUACAGGCUGCCGGGAAUACUGCAGAGCUAGGGAGUGGGAGAGGUAGACGGUACUCGGGAGGAAGUGGUAAAAUGCUUUGAUCUCUCGAUGACCACCUGUGGCGAAGGCGGUCUACCAGAACACGUCCGACGGUGAGGGAUGAAAGCUGGGGGAGCAAACCGGAUUAGAUACCCGUGUAGUCC